This is a long non-coding RNA of Engraulis encrasicolus (European anchovy), 412 nucleotides long. RefSeq lists it as uncharacterized. The transcript is spliced from 4 exons. The record is from RefSeq and is a predicted model, not a curated record. NCBI's taxonomy places the organism in Eukaryota, Metazoa, Chordata, Actinopteri, Clupeiformes, Engraulidae.
UACAAGAGACCACAGAAAACUGAUAUAGUGAACUAUAGAAACAGAGUGCCUGCUGCAGUAUGGCGAGGACACCCUGAGCAGAGAGCUCCAAUAGACCCAGGUCCAGUGUCUUGGCAGGGUGAAAUGGCACUGAUAUGGUGUCCUGCAGGAUGCUGUGUCCUGCAAUCCUGUGUGCUGUGCUACAGACGCGUCUGGAAGCCAACCUGAAAUAAGCACAGUCUCUCCACAGAGGAGUGAAAGAGGCUCCCAGAAGUGAGACUGAGUGCCUGUUGCAGUAUGACGAGGACACAGUGACCAGAGACCUUCAGUAGACCCUUCUGGCAUGAUUGGCGGCUGAAGAACAUGAAAUCAACAGCAAUGUUUAUAAUGUUGUACAUACCUGUAUAGUCUGUAUUAAAAGGCAGUACCUGUA